Molecule: long non-coding RNA, 1450 nt
Organism: Tachysurus fulvidraco (yellow catfish)
Lineage: Eukaryota; Metazoa; Chordata; Actinopteri; Siluriformes; Bagridae
Exons: 2
Source: RefSeq, a predicted model, not a curated record
ACGUGUACACACACACACACACACACACACACACACACACACACACACACACACACUCCUGAACUUCCUUGAAAAUGUGCAACUUUUUAAAGAUCACAGUUCUGUACCGCUUUUAAUUUUCAGAUCAUAUUGUAAUGGGAAUAAUUUCCCUCCACUAUCAUUAACUGUUUUACUUCCACCUAUUGGAAUAUCUUACAUCUAACAAGUUACUUAUAUCUUUAUAAUGCAUUUGUAAUGGGUAAUAUUUAUUAUUAGAUGCACACUGAUUAAAUGAACAUUUUUGUGUGCAAUUUAAGUUACCACACUAUGUUCAUUUGUUGAAUGUGCCAGCAGUCGAUUAAACACUUAAUACUUAUUCAUAAAGACAAGAGUUUUCUAUUAGGCAGACGUCUCACUAACCAUGGGAUGUGUGUGCAAAGAAAAACUUUCAAUUAGACACAAAGUCAGACUAGAGAACACUUGACUAGACUAGAGACCUGAGCAUGCUGCCGGUCCGAACGAAGGCCUUUUCCAUUCAAAUGAAAUUGAUUUGAAUGAAUUUUUAUUCAGAGGUUUAAAAAUUGGAAUGUGGAAUAGAAAUGUUUGUCGAACGACCAUGGAAUCAUUGCAUAAUAAUAACCAGUACUAGACCAGUUCUAUGUUUGCGUUCACAUAGAACAAUCGCAUCUUCAACAUGCACGUAGGUUUACAAAGUGGUAGGCACUAGUUUCCUCCACUUUGUGCUUGAUUUUAUUUUAAUCUCACACCGAAAACAGGAGCAAAGGGCAGCCUUUAUUCAUUUCUUCAUACGAAAACGAAAAACAGAAGCCACUUCAUUUAGUACUUUGUGGACCUCUUUUUGCCAGCGUACCUGCGCUGAGUCUAAGUAAGAUUGAAGGACAAGGAAUUUGAGAAGGUUUCUUGGUGCAAAAUCUCUCCAGUUUCCACGGUCCUCUCUUGUGGACUCUCCUCUUUAACUCUCGAUAUAGCUUUCUGCCUGGAGCAAACAGAAUCUUCCGGUACUUCAUGAAGUCCAUGCAUAAGGGAUGGUACAAGACCUCAUGGACUACCAUCAAGUUGCCACUUUAAUAAAAGAGAAACCAGGAAACAACAGUCAGUGACAUCACUAAUGAGCUCCACAGUGCUGGUUUGAAGGGAUCACAAACAAUUGUUUGAAGAAGACCGAGAGCAGAAGUCUAGAGGUCAUAUACCACAUGAUGAAGUAAAGCACUCAUCAGCACUAAGAAGUAGAUGGCCAGACUGGACUGAGCAAAGAAAUACAGAGAUGAGCCACAAAAGCUCUGAAACCAACAUUAACCCCUGCCAAAGCGACGAAAAGACCAACGUGUAAAGAACAACUCAAACAUGGUGGAGGUCAAGUCAUCACAUGGGCUUUCAUGGCUGCUUCUGGAGCAUUCUCACCUCGAUUAAUUGAUGUAACCUGUGCUGAAAUAAAUUCAGUGUACUGAAA